CGGGGCGGCCACGCCUGGGAGCAUCAUGGCGGCCUCCCCGGUGCGCUCUUGCCGCCGCCUGUUGGGACUGCGCUCCAGGGCUGCUGACUCCGGUGGGAGUGGCUGCCCCGCGGGUUUCAGCGGAUUCGGUAGUAAGCUCGCAGUGCAAGUGCUUUCCUACUUUCCUGUCCCCGAAGUUAUUUGCUUUGCUUUUCUUUCUUUUUUUUUUUUUUCUUUUUUUUUCCUUUUUUUUCGAUUUUAUUGAUUUAUUCAUGAGAGACCCGGAGAGAAGCAGGCUCCCCGGCCCGAGCCUGAUGCAGGACUUGAUCCCAGGACCCCAGGGUCCCCACCACCUGAGCCCAAGGCCGAUGCUCAACCACCGAGCCACUCCGGCGGCCUCGUCAUCCCUUCUUACCUCAGGAUUUCAUUUUGUUUCCUAAAGGAGACGAUUUGUUCGUUGCUGCUUACUGCCUCGUCCAACACCGGCGAACGAAUGUGUGGGGCCAAGAUGAGAAAGUACGAGGAAAGGAAGGCCGGGUCUUGGUAUCCCGCCUUCCUGACCGAAGAGCCUGUUUCCCUCCUUGGGUUGACUUUGAUUUGCUCUGUAGUGAAUUUCCUUUAUCAAGAGCUUCAUUUUGAAAUGGAUCUAACCUUGAGUACCUCCUCAUCACUUUCCUAUAUUAGUCAGUCUGACUUCAGAGAGGCACAUUUACAGGAGGUAAGAAGGAAGAGAAAGAAUCGCAAGCAAUUUGCGAUCAGAGAAAAGUCUCAAUUGAGAAGAAUGCAAAGACACAGUAGCAGAUACGAGUGAAUCGGGAAUGUGAAGAAUGUUGGCAAGUUGUACAGCUGCAAAUUUCAGUUUAAAUAAGGACUACAAUAUUGGGACUGGAUUCUGAUGGUGGAAACUGAAAUUCUGGCUACAUUAAGAACCUAAGGGAAGGUCUGUGAAAUUAGGACAAAGGAAUGUUGGACUUUCAAGAAAGAAAUUUAAAAAUCCUCUCAUAUAUGAAGAAAGCUGAAGGGCACCUGGCUGGCUCAGUGGUUGAGCAUCUGUCUUCUGCUCAGGUUGUGGUCCCGGGGGUCCUGGGAUCAAGUUCUGCAUCGGGUUCCCUGUGGGGAGCCUGCUUCUCCCUCUGCCUAUGUCUCUGCCUCUCUCUCUGUCUCCCAUGAAUAAAUAAAUAAAAUCUUUAUAAAAAUAUGAAGGA
Molecule: long non-coding RNA, 1184 nt
Filed under: Vulpes vulpes (red fox)
Lineage: Eukaryota; Metazoa; Chordata; Mammalia; Carnivora; Canidae
Description: lncRNA (ENSVVUG00000011172.1)
Source: RNAcentral